CAUGCCGCGUGUAUGAAGAAGGCCUUCGGGUUGUAAAGUACUUUCAGCAGUGAGGAAGGUGGUAGUGUUAAUAGCACUAUCAUUUGACGUUAGCUGCAGAAGAAGCACCGGCUAACUCCGUGCCAGCAGCCGCGGUAAUACGGAGGGUGCGAGCGUUAAUCGGAAUUACUGGGCGUAAAGCGCAUGCAGGUGGUUUGUUAAGUCAGAUGUGAAAGCCCGGGGCUCAACCUCGGAAUUGCAUUUGAAACUGGCAGACUAGAGUACUGUAGAGGGGGGUAGAAUUUCAGGUGUAGCGGUGAAAUGCGUAGAGAUCUGAAGGAAUACCGGUGGCGAAGGCGGCCCCCUGGACAGAUACUGACACUCAGAUGCGAAAGCGUGGGGAGCAAACAGGAUUAGAUACCCUGGUAGUCCACGCCGUAAACGAUGUCUACUUGGAGGUUGUGGCCUUGAGCCGUGGCUUUUCGGAGCUAACGCGUUAAGUA
Molecule: ribosomal RNA, 482 nt
Filed under: Vibrio sp.
Lineage: Bacteria; Pseudomonadati; Pseudomonadota; Gammaproteobacteria; Vibrionales; Vibrionaceae
Description: bacterial SSU rRNA
Rfam family: Bacterial small subunit ribosomal RNA
Source: RNAcentral